CUUUUGGACUGAGAUGGCAGGGCCCGGCUGAGUCCUAUAGUUGAAAGUCCCGGAGAUCCCAAUGGCUUGAUCUGCUUAUUAUAAAUAUAUUUGGGGAAAGAGUCAGCCAUAUGCAAGAAGCGGGACGAGGAAUGUUGGCAAGGCCACCCUAACCAGGGCUCUUCUAAUGUGGCUUAAUCCCAGCAUGUCAGCCUUACUUUCAUGGGCAGGAUCGGCGCAGACCCAACUCUGCAGCAAGGAGGCGGCCGUGCAAGGUGUCGCGGUGGGGGGAGGGCUACUACCACGGACAUUUACGCACCGCUUUUCACAAGUUCUCAAAGCGUUUUGCACAGAAAAACGAAAAAGGAAAGGGUCUGCCUUGCGCCGCUGCCAACGCUGGCUUCCCUCGCAACUGGCACCUCAACGAUCCAAACAGAUUUGCCGAACUCGCAGCCACGGCGAAGGCGCAGCCAAUGGGAGGCGGCGGCGGCGGAGGGUGGGCAGAGAACGCUCCCCGGGAGACACGCGCGCACGCGCCAGGCCCAGGAGGAGCUGCGGCGUCCGCUGACAUUGCGAGCCGGGUUGCCAAUUCAGCGCCUCUCUCUGGCAUAGAGAAAGCAGUCAGGUUGGCUUCCUCUCUAGGCGCGAUAAGAGCAGAUACUAAGUGAAGAUGACGUUUGCUGAGGACAAGUUGAAAAAGUAUAUUGACCGGAACUUGAGAAAGUUCCAUUGCAUUGAUGUAGAAAAGAUACUUAAUGACCUGCCAUGCCUCACUGUGAUGGACAAGCAAAAACUUAUAAGAACCGUGAAAAAUGACGGGAACAAUACGACUGUGUGGCACUUGUUUGAUACACUGCAGAGCCGGGAAGAUUGGGUAGAAUAUCUCAUCAGAGGUCUUCAGGAACAGAAUUUACAGAUAUUAGCGGAGGAAAUCCAGCAGGUUUAUGAGUCUCACCAAAUUGGUCCUCGAAGGCACAUUUUAGGAAGCUUGGCCCCUUCCUUCAAAGAUAUGGGUGAUUGCAAAACUCCAGUUCAAGAAACUAAUGUUCUAUCAAAGAGCAACGAGAAGGUGGUAAAACCUAAGGUGAGGAACUCACCAAAGCCAGAACCUUCCACACCUGUCCCAAGUAAGAGCUCUACAACACCCUCUCAUGCCAGGGGGACAGUGCCACUUUAUGCCCAAGCCAUACCAUUUCCAAACAUGUCCCCUUCGUCUCAGGAUGUAGUCCCCCUGGGUCCCAGAGAGAUACCCAAAGAGAAAAUGCUAAGCACCACGCCAGCAUCUUCCAGAUCCAGUGAGGAGGAUUUGGGGCAGCACUGGCAUGGUCGUCAGAAACAUCCUGUCUGUGUGGAAAAUGGGCGGUUUGGGAUCAUGAACCACCCGCCCAGCUAUGUUGCUUCUCCUGAACAUAAAAAUUCUGAAAAUCAGCCAGAGGAGAAUUCCUACUCGGCUUUUGAAAGCAGUCCACUGUCUUCAAGCAGUCCAGGUGAGAGCCAAGCUAAAGACUCACUCAGGGAGAAGAAGAUCCAAGCCCUGAGGGGUUACCAGAAUGAUGACCUGGUGGAUGCAGGUCUCUGUGAUUCACCUAAUGCAGCAAAAGAGCUCCCAUCUAGUCCUCCUUGGCCUUUAUCCAACACUUCGGAUCUCCAGUUUUCACCCAGAAAUCAGCACGUUCCUCGGGUCCCCAGCACUGUGCCUCCUAGUUCCUCCUCCACGCAGGUGAUUCCACCUAGCUUACCUGCAGCACUUUCAGGUGUCCCAAGUAAUGUGUAUUCCAGGGACCUUAAGCCUGUUGAAGACACAGAACUGCCGUUAGAUGACAAGACCACUUCUGAGCUGGAGGAAGAGGAGAUGCCGAGACCCAGAAGGAUCCACAACCAUGGCUCUUCCAGAGGUUACAAUGUCUUCCAGAGCAACCUGGAUGAUGACGUGCCCUGUAAACCGGGUAUUUUGACACCAGACUCAGAUGAAAGUAUGAGAGAAUCAGCUGACCCAAACUGGAGCAGCGAUGAGACAAAAGGUGAAUAUUCCGGGAGAUCAGAUAGACUUUGCUUGAGCACAUCCCUUGGAAGUGAACUUUUAAGCGAUCCUAUAAUGCUGAGUGAUUCCAGCCAAAGUGGUCUGCCUGAAAAGAUGUGCCCUGGUCCAGCCAGUUCAGGAAGAGAUGUGGCAGCUAGAAUAGACUGUGCUCCUAAGCCUGCACCUGACAGCCACCUGGAUGAUGGGUCCAUCAGAACCCACACAGAACAUGUGGUGCAGCCUCCCAGCGUUGAUCUCACAGGAGCACCUGAUAGGAUCAGUUCUACUAGCAUCCCCAGUAACUGGUCUCUGGAUUCCUUGCCUGACUCGGUACCCAAAUGUCAGCCCACCAAAAGUGCCAGUUCCUGUAAACUGGGUAUUUGGACACCAGACUCAGAUGAAAGUAUGAGAGAAUCAGCUGACCCAAACUGGAGCAGCGAUGAGACAAAAGGUGAAUAUUCCAGGAGAUCAGAUAGACUUUGCUUGAGCAUAUCCCUUGGAAGUGAACUUUUAAGCGAUCCUAUAAUGUUGAGUGAUUCCAGCCAAAGUGGUCUGUCUGAAGAGAUGUGCCCUGGUCCAGCCAGUUCAGGAAGAGAUGUGUCGGCUAGAAUAGCCUGUGCUGUUCAGCCUGCACCUGACAGCCACCUGGAUGAUGGAUCCAUCAGAACCCACACAGAACGCGUGGUGCAGCUUCCCAGUGUUGAUCUCACAGGAGCACCUGAUAGGAUCAAUUCCACUAGCAUCCCCAGUAACUGGUCUCUGGAUUCCUUGCCUGACUCGGUACCCAAAUGUCAGCCCAUCAAAAGUGCCCGUCCCCCCACCAAGAAUUCUGAGGAUUCCUCAAACAGGGAUCUCAACGAUGAAGCGCCAUUUACCAUGAGCACUUCUACAUUGCUUGUUGUUGGUUUUGCCCUGGCGUCUGUGGCAGCCAUGACUUUCGUGGUGUUGAGGCGGCUGAAGAAAUAGGAACUGAGGGGCUGAGGAAAAAAGAUUGCAGAACGUUGUUCCUGGCUAGCUUAAAACAGAACAAAAAAUCAACAGUUUGCAUAGCCAAGCGUUCCAGAAACCUUACCGUUCCACCAGUGCCUUAACUGAGGCAUCUGAGCUGGUCUCCAUGCCAGUUACAGAGACCGGAUACAUAAGCUACGUGGAUGCUGAGGACAAACAAGAGGAAAUGGCCAUCUUCCAUCUUGCUGUGUGACUUAUCCGUGGCCAUUCAUUGAGCUUCAUGGCCGAAAAGGGAUUUAUUCCGUCUUGGAUCCCCACGUCCAAACUUGGAUCCCCACGUCCAAAUACGGCUGCGGUACAACUCUAGCCUUUUCCAUGCAGAAUUAGACUUCGAGAAAGUUCCAAAGGUGGCACUGAGGAGGGAAGGAGGAAAACGCAGCAAGGCUUCAGUGAACAUUGUGACGCCCACUAAUCUAUUUGCCGUUUGGUUUUGUGCAGUUCUGCAAGUUUCUCAGAGCAAUUUAUCCAGUGACUACCAGACAGGAUGCAUAAAGAGGAAAUGCCUUUCCUUGGUUUGGCUUGGAUAUUGGAGGGACCUUGGUCAAGCUUGUUUAUUUUGAACCAAAAGACAUUACCACGGAAGAAGAAGAAGAGGAAGUGGAGAAUCUGAAAAGCAUUCGGAAAUACCUGACCUCCA
Molecule: RNA transcript, 3644 nt
Organism: Hemicordylus capensis (graceful crag lizard)
Lineage: Eukaryota; Metazoa; Chordata; Lepidosauria; Squamata; Cordylidae
Gene name: pantothenate kinase 2, mitochondrial
Exons: 12
Source: RefSeq, a predicted model, not a curated record